This 656-nucleotide long non-coding RNA is filed under the name Pan troglodytes (chimpanzee). RNAcentral's name for it is "lincRNA". The record is from RNAcentral. Lineage: Eukaryota; Metazoa; Chordata; Mammalia; Primates; Hominidae.
GAAGAGGCGACUGCUGGGUGCCUCUAGUCAACCAUGUUGAUGACGUCCUUUCUAGAAAACACCCUGAUACCUUGUGCCUGUGCUUCCAAGGUGGCUGACGCUGUGCCUGUGCUUCCGAGGUGGCUGACGCUGUGCCUGUGCUUCCGAGGUGGCUGACUUCUAACUGAGUGCAGUGGAGACCCCGUGGUGCUUUACAGAACAGAUGGCAGUGCUGCCCAAGCUCAGAACACAGCUGGACGGAUCCCCAUUUUUAAAAUGUUGCUUUUAAAGUUCCUUGGUCUAUUUUAAGUCUUAGAAAAUAGAGCACUAAUUUGUGUCCACAGCUAGGGAAAAAGCACCCCAAAUACUCAUGUUAUGUCACUUUCAGUACCACAAUUCAAAUAGUGAAAGACGAUGCUUCCAUGUACCACAUAUAGGUCUCUACUAGUGAUUUUUCUCUCAUUUCCACCUAGCUUCACAUAUUUUUGUGGUAUAGCUAACUCAACACUGAUUCUAUACAAAAUAUAUUAUCUAAGAUAGUCUUUAAAAAUAUUUGAAUUCCACUGGGAUUCGUUUAAACCCCUACACAAAUAAUUACCUCUUACUAAAAACACUGAGUUUGGCAAGUGAAAUUUUGUAAUAAGGUGAAGAUUCAAUAAAAUCUUCUCUCAAACUAA